Molecule: long non-coding RNA, 216 nt
Organism: Astyanax mexicanus (Mexican tetra)
Lineage: Eukaryota; Metazoa; Chordata; Actinopteri; Characiformes; Acestrorhamphidae
Exons: 3
Source: RefSeq, a predicted model, not a curated record
CUUCCACUCAUUUUCAGUUUGGAGCUGGAGAAUGCCUCUUCAUUGUGGCUGAAUGUCCCUGUUGAAGAGAAACAGAAUCCAUGUUAGAACACACAGACAAGCUACCUCCCCCUGGUGAGGUUUGCUUCACCUCCGUAUGGCCAGACUCAGUAAGCUUGUCCUGGGGUUCUCCAGAGGGUCUGGAUGGGCCCCAGAAAUUUAGGGUCAUCUGGGAAG